UUGACGGGGCCCGCACAAGCGGCGGAGCAUGCGGAUUAAUUCGAUGCAACGCGAAGAACCUUACCAAGGCUUGACAUACACCGGUAACGCCCAGAGAUGGGUGCCCCUUUGUGGUCGGUGGACAGGUGGUGCAUGGUUGUCGUCAGCUCGUGUCGUGAGAUGUUGGGUUAAGUCCCGCAACGAGCGCAACCCUCGUCCUAUGUUGCCAGCGGGUCAUGCCGGGGACUCAUGGGAGACUGCCGGGGUCAACUCGGAGGAAGGUGGGGAUGACGUCAAAUCAUCAUGCCCCUUAUGUCUUGGGCUUCACGCAUGCUACAAUGGCCGGUACAAAGGGCUGCGAUACCGCGAGGUGGAGCGAAUCCCAGAAAGCCGGUCUCAGUUCGGAUUGGGGUCUGCAACUCGACCCCAUGAAGUCGGAGUCGCUAGUAAUCGCAGAUCAGCAACGCUGCGGUGAAUACGUUCCCGGGCCUU
This 471-nucleotide ribosomal RNA is filed under the name uncultured Curtobacterium sp. Its description in RNAcentral is "bacterial SSU rRNA". It matches the Rfam family "Bacterial small subunit ribosomal RNA", at positions 910 to 1382 of the family's 1533-position model. Lineage: Bacteria; Bacillati; Actinomycetota; Actinomycetes; Micrococcales; Microbacteriaceae. The record is from RNAcentral.